AUGACUUUUUACUACCGACCAACCGUUACAGAGGCUUUUUCCUCGGUUCAAUAUAUAAUGACCGAGGCCAACUUUGGUUGGUUAAUCCGAUCAGUUCAUCUAUGGUCAGCAAGUAUGAUGGUUUUAAUGAUCCUGCAUGUAUUUCGUGUGUAUCUCACAGGGGGAUUUAAAAAAUCCCACGAAUUAACUUGGGUCACAGGUGUGGUUUUGGCUGUUUUGACUGCAUCAUUUGGUGUAACUGGUUAUUCUUUGCCUUGGGAUCAAAUUGGCUAUUGGGCAGUCAAAAUUGUGACAGGUGUACCUGACGCCAUUCCCGUAAUAGGAUCGCCUUUAGUGGAGGUGCUGGUGGCGAUCGGAAGUGUUGGGUGGAUCGCAGAGGCAUAG
This 384-nucleotide ribosomal RNA is filed under the name Triticum aestivum (bread wheat). Its description in RNAcentral is "partial small subunit ribosomal RNA". Lineage: Eukaryota; Viridiplantae; Streptophyta; Magnoliopsida; Poales; Poaceae. The record is from RNAcentral.